Molecule: ribosomal RNA, 253 nt
Filed under: uncultured bacterium
Lineage: Bacteria
Description: partial 16S ribosomal RNA
Rfam family: Bacterial small subunit ribosomal RNA
Source: RNAcentral
UACGUAGGGGGCAAGCGUUAAUCGGAAUUACUGGGCGUAAAGCGUGCGCAGGCGGCUAUGCAAGACAGAUGUGAAAUCCCCGGGCUCAACUUGGGAACUGCAUUUGUGACUGCAUGGCUAGAGUACGGUAGAGGGGGAUGGAAUUCCGCGUGUAGCAGUGAAAUGCGUAGAUAUGCGGAGGAACACCGAUGGCGAAGGCAAUCCCCUGGACCUGUACUGACGCUCGUGCACGAAAGCGUGGGGAGCAAACAGG